Molecule: ribosomal RNA, 505 nt
Filed under: uncultured bacterium
Lineage: Bacteria
Description: partial 16S ribosomal RNA
Source: RNAcentral
GGAGUUAGCCGGUGCUUCUUCUGUGAGUGAUGUCCUUCCUGCCGGCUAUUAACCCGCAGGCCUUCUUCCUCACUGAAAGUGCUUUACAACCCGAAGGCCUUCUUCACACACGCGGCAUGGCUGGAUCAGGGUUGCCCCCAUUGUCCAAUAUUCCCCACUGCUGCCUCCCGUAGGAGUCUGGGCCGUGUCUCAGUCCCAGUGUGGCUGAUCAUCCUCUCAGACCAGCUACGGAUCGUCGCCUUGGUGAGCCGUUACCUCACCAACCAGCUAAUCCGACAUAGGAUCAUCCGAUAGCGCGAGGCCCGAAGGUCCCCCGCUUUCCCCCGUAGGGCGUAUGCGGUAUUAGCCUGGGUUUCCCCAGGUUAUCCCCCACUACCGGGCAGAUUCCUAUGCAUUACUCACCCGUCCGCCGCUCGCCACCAGGGAGCAAGCUCCCCGUGCUGCCGCUCGACUUGCAUGUGUAGCUCGCCGCCACGCGUCAUCUGAGCGAGAUACAACUACUCGA